AGCUGUUAUACGCGAAUGAGAAAAUGAAGCCCAACUACGAAAGUGGCUUUAAACCCCUGACCCCACGAAAGCUACGACACAAACUGGGAUUAGAUACCCCACUAUGCCUAGCCCUAAACAACGAUGACACAACACCUAGUUAUCCGCCCGGGAACUACGAGCAACAGCUUAAAACCCAAAGGACUUGGCGGUGCUUUAGACCCACCUAGAGGAGCCUGUUCUAGAACCGAUAAUCCCCGUUGAACCUCACCUUUCCUUGCCUAAUCCGCCUAUAUACCGCCGUCGUCAGCUUACUCUGUGAGGAGUGCGAAGUAAGCAUAAUCGGUACAACCAAAAACGCCAGGUCGAGGUGUAGCGUAUGGAAAGGGAAGAAAUGGGCUACAUUCAUUAGUUAUAAUGAACACGGAUGAUAUCCUGAAACAAAUAUCUGAAGGAGGAUUUAGCAGUAAGAAGGGAGCAGAGUGCUCUUCUGAAGCCGGCUCUGAAGCGCGUACACACCGCCCGUCACUCUCCCCGAGCUAAAA
This 524-nucleotide ribosomal RNA is filed under the name Hologymnosus doliatus. RNAcentral describes it as "partial small subunit ribosomal RNA". It matches the Rfam family "Bacterial small subunit ribosomal RNA", at positions 677 to 1416 of the family's 1533-position model. The record is from RNAcentral. Lineage: Eukaryota; Metazoa; Chordata; Actinopteri; Labriformes; Labridae.